GUCCAGACUCCUACGGGAGGCAGCAGUGGGGGAUAUUGCACAAUGGGGGAAACCCUGAUGCAGCGACGCCGCGUGUGGGAAGACGGUCUUCUGGAUUGUAAACCACUGUCCCCAGGGACGAAAAUGACGGUACCUGGGGAGGAAGCUCCGGCUAACUACGUGCCAGCAGCCGCGGUAAUACGUAGGGAGCAAGCGUUGUCCGGAAUUACUGGGUGUAAAGGGAGCGUAGGCGGGGAUGCAAGUUGGGUGUCAAAACUACCGGCUCAACCGAUAGUCGCACUCAAAACUGCAACUCUUGAGUGAAGUAGAGGCAGGCGGAAUUCCUAGUGUAGCGGUGAAAUGCGUAGAUAUCAGGAGGAACACCGGUGGCGAAGGCGGCCUGCUGGACUGCGACUGACGUUGAGGCCCGAAAGCGUGGGGAGCAAACAGGAUUAGAUACCCUCGUAC
RNAcentral lists this ribosomal RNA (447 nucleotides) under uncultured bacterium. RNAcentral's name for it is "partial 16S ribosomal RNA". It matches the Rfam family "Bacterial small subunit ribosomal RNA", at positions 329 to 793 of the family's 1533-position model. The record is from RNAcentral.